AGUGAACGCUGGCGGUAGGCCUAACACAUGCAAGUCGAACGGCAGCACAGUAAGAGCUUGCUCUUACGGGUGGCGAGUGGCGGACGGGUGAGGAAUACAUCGGAAUCUACUUUUUCGUGGGGGAUAACGUAGGGAAACUUACGCUAAUACCGCAUACGACCUACGGGUGAAAGCAGGGGAUCUUCGGACCUUGCGCGAUUGAAUGAGCCGAUGUCGGAUUAGCUAGUUGGCGGGGUAAAGGCCCACCAAGGCGACGAUCCGUAGCUGGUCUGAGAGGAUGAUCAGCCACACUGGAACUGAGACACGGUCCAGACUCCUACGGGAGGCAGCAGUGGGGAAUAUUGGACAAUGGGCGCAAGCCUGAUCCAGCCAUACCGCGUGGGUGAAGAAGGCCUUCGGGUUGUAAAGCCCUUUUGUUGGGGAAGAAAAGCAGCAGGUUAAUACCCCGCUGUUCUGACGGUACCCAAAGAAUAAGCACCGGCUAAUUUCGUG
This 492-nucleotide ribosomal RNA is filed under the name uncultured bacterium. Its description in RNAcentral is "partial 16S ribosomal RNA". It matches the Rfam family "Bacterial small subunit ribosomal RNA", at positions 29 to 507 of the family's 1533-position model. The record is from RNAcentral.